RNAcentral lists this long non-coding RNA (1632 nucleotides) under Medicago truncatula (barrel medic). RNAcentral describes it as "lncRNA gene45892". Lineage: Eukaryota; Viridiplantae; Streptophyta; Magnoliopsida; Fabales; Fabaceae. The record is from RNAcentral.
UAAUUCUCUUAAUAUCUAGUAUUGCCUGUUUUUGUCAAUAUGAUUGUCGUAUACAGUAUAGAUUAUUUUUAAAUGCUAAAAUGUGAGAGUAUACCGUAUAUUGUGUGAGAGCUACCCUGCCAAAUGCAGGUUUGGCAAUCACGUUAUUGAAAUUCCUAUGCGAUUGGCUUUAGCGAUUUCUAGACAUGGAUGGAUUCACAAGUAAUUGAGAAAUUUGUAAGCAAUUGGUAGUGAAGUUGUGGUAUCCAAUUUGUCUUGAAUUGGUUGACACAUUUUUUUGUUAACUUGAAUGUAAGUAUCUAAAAGAUGUCUCGAUCAAUUCAAGUGCAUAUUGUAAUGUCACAACUUGUUAAGAUUCGAGAGUAAAGUAAUGUCCAAAUACUUAAUUGGAAAAUUUCACUUAACUUGCCUACAUAGAUGUAAGUUGAAUUGUAGCACAUGGUUGGUUGAAUAAGAAUACUUUGUGUUGUUUCUUUUUUGACGGAGCUUUGCGCAAGACAACAAGGGAUUGAUACAAGAUUCUACCAACAAUAACGGAUUGAUAUGAGCUUGGAGUAAUAAAAUUGAUAAUUAGUCAUAUAAUUUUAAGGUUAUAUAUGUUUUUGCUUAUUAUAAAUGUAUCAAAUUUUUGUUUUAGUCUCUUAGAAUUUUCUUUCAUUGUGGAGAAGUGAAGUUAUUUGAUUUGCAAACCGUCAUAUUUAUGAAGAAAAAAAACUAAGAGUGAAUCAUCAAAUUACUUCUUGAAUUUGCAAGGACCAAUUUCGUCCUCCAUUUUGUCGUUGUAAUUGAAUAUUGGGCUGUGAUGUACACUAGUUAUUUGGUUCUCCCACAUGACCAUUUUGUCGCAUAUGAAAUAAAAAUAAACGAGAUUGGGAACCUAUCCUAGACCGUAAGCAAUCUCAAUAAACACUUAUCCUAAGCUUAACGCACAUGAGCAUAUGAAACUAUGAUCACCAUAACUCAACCCAUUUGAGUUUAUAUUGUUUUUUAUCUGCACAACUCCAUCGGACUCCUUUUGUCGUCGUGCUGGACUUGCAUUGGAAAAAUGACUGUCCACUACUGACGGGAACCUCAUCAACUCCACUAUUGACGAGGAGUUGGAGAGUCACGGCCUAUGUUAAUUGAUUUCUUAUAAUUAACAUAUUCUUAUCAUAUAUGUUAUAGCAAUAUUAUCAGAUUAAUUCUCAAGAGGACAAUGUUGGUGUUACUCAAGGAACUGAUGAGGAAAAUGUUGGUGCUACUCAAGGAAAUGAAGAAGAUAAUGUUGUUGCUACCGAAGAAGAAAAUGUGACUCAAGAAACACAACCUUACGAACCAGAACCAGCUACUUAAGCAAAUAAAACUUCAACAACCCAACAAACUUAGAAAAAUGCAGCAACUCAAUUCAUGGAGUUUAUCUCAACAUAUUAGUUUAAAUUAUGCUUUUGAAAAUGUAAUAUUAAACUUGUUUAAAUUAUGCCCCUAGUUGGGUUUCUUUUUGACUAUUUAAUAUUUAAGAACCUCCUUCGACUUAUGACUUGUUAAUGGCUCUUAGUUAGGUUGCUUUUUGUCUAUGUAAUAUUUGUGCACUUGUAAUGCAAUGACUGAAUUAUGACUUAUUUGAUGAUAUUUUCAAGGAUCAAAUUACGUCUC